This 398-nucleotide long non-coding RNA is filed under the name Populus tremula. RNAcentral describes it as "long non-coding RNA (PTRE_LNC002638)". Lineage: Eukaryota; Viridiplantae; Streptophyta; Magnoliopsida; Malpighiales; Salicaceae. The record is from RNAcentral.
GCCCAUCCACCCAAAAAAAUCUUGAUGGCUACAAACUCUUGGAAAGCAACCUCCCUCGUAGCAGAUCUAAAUUUUUCAUCUAUUCAUGUAAAACCAUCCAAGGGGUAGUUCUUCAGAAUCUCUGCUCUAUAUGUGUCUAGCCAAAAACUGUCAUUGUCCAAGAAAAUACAGGACAUAGGAAAGAUUUUACAAUAGAGAUGAGAAUCGACAGAAAUAUGCACGAAAAAAAACUGUAAUAUGGAAACCAACCAAAAAGGCUUCUUUCCAAGCACUGCACCAACUCUGAAGUGGUCAUAAAUGAUACGACUUUGAAUUUUCUUUCAAUGUUUGAAAGUAGAGUCAACCGAUCAAACAUUCUCCAAGGCAUCCUUUUUCAACUCUUCUGCACUCGGAGCAGU